CAUACGGCUCAGUAACACGUGGCUAACCCACCCUCGGGACGGAGACAACCCCGGGAAACUGGGACCAAUCCCCGAUAGGCGAGGACUCCUGGAACGGGUCCUCACUCAAAGGGUGUUGGGAUCAUGCUUCUCAACGUCGCCCGAGGACGGGGCCGCGACCGAUCAGGUAGUUGGCGAGGCAAUGGCUCACCAAGCCUAUAACCGGUACGGGCCGUGGGAGCGGGAGCCCGGAGAUGGGCACUGAGACAAGGGCCCAGGCCCUACGGGGCGCAGCAGUCGCGCAAACUCUGCAAUGCACGAAAGUGUGACAGGGCUACCCCGAGUGCCGUCCGCUGAGGAUGGCUUUUCUCCACUGUAAGGAGGCGGAGGAAUAAGGAGAGGGCAAGUCUGGUGUCAGCCGCCGCGGUAAUACCAGCUCUCCGAGUGGUAGGGAUGAUUAUUGGGCUUGAAGCGUUCGUAGCCGGCCUCUCAAGUCUUUCGUUAAAUCCAGCGAUUCAAUCGUUGGACUGCGGGAGAUACUGUUAGGCUAGGGGGCGGGAGAAGCCGACGGUAUUUUCGGGGUAGGGGUAAAAUCCUAUAAUCCCGGGAAGACCACCAGUGGCGUAGGCGGUCGGCUAGCACGCGCUCGACGGUGAGGGACGAAAGCUGGGGGAGCGAACCC
This 661-nucleotide ribosomal RNA is filed under the name uncultured archaeon. Its description in RNAcentral is "bacterial SSU rRNA". It matches the Rfam family "Archaeal small subunit ribosomal RNA", at positions 82 to 726 of the family's 1478-position model. The record is from RNAcentral.